RNAcentral lists this non-coding RNA (21 nucleotides) under Mus musculus (house mouse). The record is from RNAcentral. Lineage: Eukaryota; Metazoa; Chordata; Mammalia; Rodentia; Muridae.
UCAUCGUCUCAAAUGAGUCUU